CUCUGCAUCCCCUCCCUUGCUGCACGCUCGAAUCUGUAACGUGUCUUCCCCUUCUCCUCUGUUUUCGCCAGACGUUGACGAGUGCGACUGGUUGGUGCCUUCCUCCAAGCUCUGGGCCCGAUGGCUGCUUGGAAGACCUCAUCAAGUGCGGCGAGGGUCAGGAGACACCGGCGCAGCGGUCACGUUUUGCUGCGUGUUCUGGAGGUAGCACUGAUGCUGGCGCUCCUGCUUCCCGCGACUUGCUCCAGCGCCUCACUCGCAGCGAAGGCGGUGGACGAUCAUCCUGUCACGGCGCAUGAGGACACGCACGUUCGGUCAGCACGGUUGGCGAGCGCAGCGGUAAAAGCGGCGUUGGAUGUGAAGGAAUUGAACGCGCAUGCGCUGCGCAGACAGAUGGUGCGCGAGAUGAACGAGCAGAAGUGGUACCUCCUCGACGGCGAUCAGCUGAUCCCUAGAGACGGCAAGAAGAUCGCACACCCGCGCCCGCGGCGCUUCGCACCGCUAACGGAGGCCCGUGAGGAAACCCUCGAGUGCGGGUCGUCAUCGCCACGAGGAGCACAGACCCGCGUCCACCCGGGUCUGAAUUCAACACCGGCUGGUGACCAUCAUCGUGGCCACGCCACUGUUCACGCGCCACAGAACGCAGCUCUCCUGAAGAAGCGCCACUGUCGUACCGAACGCUGUACACCAGCAGCCACCACGUCGCCCCAGAAACGCAAGGCAAUGGCAGACGGAGCCGUUGACAAUGCGGCCGCAACAUACGCUGGCGCGGAGCCGCCCCGCAUCCCUCUCGACUCCCUCCGUCUUGUGAUCCGCUUCGAGGAGGAGGCUGUCGCCGAGGACAAGGUCGAAGGCCACGAGCACGGCGUCGGCACGCAUGCCUCGCGGCAGCGUAGGGCGCCGCAUUACAGCCGGCGGUCGCGGGAGCAUUCGGCUCAUGGUCACAGUAGAGGUGGCCUGCACGGGCGCAGGCGCGCUGGCCACAGCCAUGUGCACCGCGGUCACGGUUUAUCGGUGCUCCUAAGACAGCCAGAACAAGGUGUGCGCAGCCUAGCCGCGGCACCGCAGCCGGUCAUUGAAGUAGCGGAUGCGGAGCACGACGCCAUCGAGCGUCGCAGCGAUGGCGUCGCCGCCGCGGUGCUCGUGUCCGCUGAUGCCAAAAGUGUCACAUCUACGACGCUGUCAGAAGAAGAUCUGCGGCGUCGCUGCCUCAUGGCUAACAGCCGGGACUCGAAGGCGGCUCUCAUGAGGGCGCUGCAGGAGGGCAGGUUGCGCGAAGACUGCCUGAUCGUGGCCGCCGAAGUAGGCAACGACAUCCCGAGUAACGAGAACAGUGCGAGGGGAGCCGUGGCGAUGAUGUCCCUGUUUGUGUCGACCCUCUUUGGAGCUUUUCUCUUCGCCUUCUGAUUCAACGGCGGAAUGCCGGGCAGAGGCGGUGAGGGGAGGGAGGGAGGGAGGGAGGGAGGAGGGGGAGGGCGUGCGCUCAUCUCUGCAUUCUUCAGCAUGCAUAGGUAUAUCCGUCUGUGCGUGGCUGUGCGUGCCUGUCUGCGCGUCCCAGAGGUGGGUGAUGUGCUUAUCGCCCUCUGCCCUUUUCGGCUCCCAUCCCCAGUAUGUCGAAUCCUCGCCCGGCAAGCACCAUGGCAUCUGUGCCUCUUUGCGUGAUGGGAAUGUCCCUCUUCUCGCGUGUGUCUUUUCUCCCUCUUCCGUGGCGAUGAUGCCGGCCACCUCACCCCGCAAUAUCACGCGGCCCAGUGCCCUCCCCUCCUCUUCCCACUCGCUAUGGGGCAAGCCAGGUAGCCUGCAGCCUACCCCUCGGGCACGGCUGGCGGAGUCUCAGUGCCCGGCGGACAGGCCUGGACUGGCGCUGUGCCGAAGGAGACGUGCGGUCAUGGGCAUGCUUUCCCCAGCGGCGUUUCUGCGUUCGCUGCGUUGCAGCGAUGAUGCCGGGCGCGAUCCUGGACUGAGCCUGCGCUGCAUGCGGUGGAAUGGCAAUGAGCUCAACGACGCCCCACAGCGCUGAUUGGCCUGGUGCCUUGGCGUAGCCGCAGUGCAGCCGGGCCAGGGCGAACUACGGCUGUGCAUCCGCAAUCUUUGCUGUCAUGCUCAUGGCAGAGCGGGCACGCUGAAAGGAAAAAAAAACAUUUUUUGGUUCUCUGUGAUUACAUGUCUAUGUGUAUGUGUGUUACCCCCCCCCUCCCUUGUUCUUCCAUCUUUCAUUGCACGCCCCGCUGAUGCUGUGUGUGAAGAGCGGCAAGACGGCAGCAGCAAGUGCUCCAGCGGGCGAACGAUACCGCUGCUCCCCCGCCUCUGUCUGUCAUGAUUAUUUCCUAUUCAUCCCUUUCGUUUUGCGGUCUCGUGUCUUCCUCUUGCUGUCGGCUUACCAGGCAGCAACUCAUACACCACCCCACCACCGACUCUCCGGUUUUGUGGCUCUGCUCGGAGGCCUGCAUGUUCGACGAGGCGUAUCGUCGACUGCGUUUACACGCCCGAUGAGGACGUCCAUAAACAAACGGUGCACACUCCCCUCCCCUUCCCCCCCCUUGUGUGUUACGCUCCUCAUCCUCGCGUGCCCCGCACGGCUGCUAUUCCACUUUGUUUUAUUAUUCCGGUGUGUUCGUUUCCUUUUUUGCUCUCCCCUCCCCUCGCUCGCCACCACCACCCCUGGCGGCCCUAUUCGCAUUGUUGUACGUUUGGUUGCUGUUGUUGUGCCGUUGUCUGUGUUCUCUUGUCUUCCUUGUCGUGGGAUUCUCUCUUGCUGGCUUGCGCCGCGCUCUCCCUCCCUCUCUCCCUCUGUGUGUGCCGGUGUGUGGAUGAUGUACACACGUGCAUGUGUAUGGUAUGGGCAUGUAUUAGGUGUAUGUGUGCGCGUAAGGCUGCCGGUAUUUCUCUUGUCUAUGUACCCUGCCGGUGCCGCUCUCCAAGGCACAGCGGUGCAAUCGAGCAAAGGGCAAUAAGGCAACGGCCGCAUCGACGCUCAGCUGCUAUCCCUCCUCUCCUUUUCUGCCACUUGAGGGUAAGGGAGGCCAUCGCAUUCGUUCGCCACGCAGCGGACACAUCGGACAAAAAAAAAACGCGGAUCGCACGCGUAGCGGAACAAGGGUCACAGAGGAUGCAAUGAAAUGAUCGACGUGAUGGCCGCACAUGCUCACCAUCAUCGUCGGUCUCCCCCUGCAGCAACAUGGUCCGCCGGUGCCACUCUUACACAUAAUGCCUUCCUCUUCUCGUAUCAUACGCCUUUCCCUCAGCACUUCG
Molecule: unclassified non-coding RNA, 3252 nt
Filed under: Leishmania donovani
Lineage: Eukaryota; Euglenozoa; Kinetoplastea; Trypanosomatida; Trypanosomatidae
Description: gene:LdHU3.14.1070(CDS-product:hypothetical_prote in_conserved)
Source: RNAcentral